This is a non-coding RNA of Microcebus murinus (gray mouse lemur), 364 nucleotides long. The record is from RefSeq and is a predicted model, not a curated record. Lineage: Eukaryota; Metazoa; Chordata; Mammalia; Primates; Cheirogaleidae.
AGACUGACCCAGGCAUCCUAUCCGUUUCCUCAGUAAAUCUGAGAUAUGUGAAAAGGAGCAUUUUUUUCCCAACUAAGGAGUCUUUAGCGAGUUAUAGACGUAAUCAGAGGCGCCACCGAACCGUAGGAAGUGGUCGUGUAGACGCCUGAACAAGCUGGCUGAUUAUUCCGCUCGGCUUUGCCCGCCGUGCGUGCAGUUGAGACGUCUGGACUCGAACACGGACAGAUCCGGUAUCUUACCCCACUUCAGGAUCUAGUUCCUCUGCCAAUUUCCAUCCUCAGCAAUUCCAAGAGCGCAGCAAUGUGAAUACAUACCUUCCGGAAUCUUUGAGUUGUGUUCCGACCAGACCCAUGGAUCAGCAAAG